Long non-coding RNA from Amblyraja radiata (thorny skate), 949 nucleotides. RefSeq lists it as uncharacterized. The record is from RefSeq and is a predicted model, not a curated record. NCBI's taxonomy places the organism in Eukaryota, Metazoa, Chordata, Chondrichthyes, Rajiformes, Rajidae. The transcript is spliced from 3 exons.
ACUCUUGAAGAACCUUCAAGUCAGCACGGAAAUGUUGGGCAGCUGGAGGGAAAUAUUACACUUGUUUCUUUUGCUGAUUUAUAGGACAUGGCAAUUGUUGGCAAUGCCCACCCUUAACUGCCAUCGAGAACUUGGUGGUGAGCCGCUUUCAUGAAUGCCUACAGUACCUCUGCUGAUGGUACCACCAGUGCUAUUGGCAGUGGAUCUCUCUGGUGCAGUUGGAGUCAAAGAUCCUAUAGCAAGAUAGACCACUCGACAAAAAAGAUGUAGUACGGUCAUGGGAAGAUUCAUGGGUAAUUUUCGGCCCCAUUUCCGUAACCAGCCUCCGUCUUUGCUUCAGUCUCUGCACUCGUAUCUUUGCUUUGGCCAUGGCGUCCAUGUCUACUAGUGUUGCAUACUGCUCUGCUGUAAAUUGCUCCAAUCGCCAAUGUAGGCUACCCGACUUGUCUUUCUUCAGGUUCCCCACUAAGGAGGAAAGAUGUCAACAGUAGGUUCAGAAUACUCGUCGACAUGAUCUCCUACACUGAACUACGGAGUACUUGUCAAAUAACUGCAGUCUUUGUUCUGAGCACUUCGAACUUGACCAGUUUUCCAACAAGCAGACCAAGAACAGGCUAAAUUGGAAUGCAGUUCCAACGCUCUUUGACAUCCCUAACCCGCCGAAACAACUGUCUAUUAUUCAGCGUUCUAUCAGAUAUUCAGCAUUAAAAAGAGAAAUAAAUCACAAUAAAAGUGAAAAGAUGCCUCUGUUCCUUCCACAGCGUGCGAGGAGUCUGGCCCGGAUCAGCACGGCUGAGACACCAGAGUGAAGUUGCGGGGGGGUUUACAAUGUUUUUUUAUUUAUUAUUGUCCCUUGUCUAGUCCGAAAAAUCAGCAUAAAUGUGUAGACACUAAAGUACAAUGAAGAAAGAAUUUAGAAAGAAUAAAGAAAGAAUCGUUAUAAUUUAAA